Molecule: unclassified non-coding RNA, 379 nt
Filed under: uncultured bacterium
Lineage: Bacteria
Description: contains 16S-23S intergenic spacer region
Source: RNAcentral
UCCGGUUUGUCACCGGCAGUCUCAUUAGAGUGCCCAACUGAAUGUAGCAACUAAUGACAAGGGUUGCGCUCGUUGCGGGACUUAACCCAACAUCUCACGACACGAGCUGACGACAGCCAUGCAGCACCUGUGCAUGCUCCCCUUGCGGGGUCGUCCCACUUUCAUGGUUCUACCACAUGCAUGUCAAGGCCAGGUAAGGUUCUUCGCGUUGCAUCGAAUUAAGCCACAUACUCCACCGCUUGUGCAGGCCCCCGUCAACUUCUUUGAGUUUUAAUCUUGCGACCGUACUUCCCAGGCGGCACGUUUAUCGCGUUAGCUUCGCCACAAAAGGGGUCGAUUCCUCCCACAUCGAGUGCCCAUCGUUUACGGCGUGGACUAC